Molecule: long non-coding RNA, 764 nt
Filed under: Fragaria vesca (wild strawberry)
Lineage: Eukaryota; Viridiplantae; Streptophyta; Magnoliopsida; Rosales; Rosaceae
Description: long non-coding RNA (FVES_LNC003217)
Source: RNAcentral
CGCGGGCUUGGCGCCGUGGGAGACGCUGGCGUGGAAGGCGAGGUCGGCGUCGGCGACUUGGAUGGCGACGGCGCGGACGGCGAGGCCGUGUUUGGCGGAGAAGGCGCGGGAGGCGGAGUGGUCGAAGCUGGGGAUGGAGGCGGAGGAGGUGGGCCCAGAGAGAGAAGGGGAGUAAGGGGCGGAGAAGAGGAAGGAGAGGUCGGCGGAGCGGAGGAGGUAGGAGGCGUGGGAGUGGUUGCCGGUGGAGAGGUCAGACUUGGCGACCAAGGGCAUGCCGAGGCCCCAGGAGAAGCGGAGGGCGGUGUUGGUGGCGUCGGUGCACCAGAACUCGAUGUGGUGGAAGCGGGUGACGGCGAACCGGUCGGAGCGGGGGUUGGAGCGGACGAAGUUGGAGAAUCCGACGAGGUUGAACUGGGUCGUCUCGGUUUGGUGGCCCAUUGUGGUGUGCUGACUGUGGUGAGGUCCGUGAGGAGGGUAUACUGGUAUGGUACCUAUAGUAGUAGUGACUGAGAGGGUGGACUUUUGGAGGGAAGCGGUGGGGACACGUAGACGUGGAUUGGGGUUUUAUCUUGUGUGGGGACACGUGGCGGGGUAUGGGUGGAGGGGGAGGAGGGGUUUUGAGUGACGCAACUCCAUACCGGCUAGGGGAUCAUGGAGGAGGAAAAACUGAAGUUUGGGACUUGUGUGUGUUUGGGGUUUUCCUGAGAGGGAAAGGAUAGAAUACGGGGAGAACGAAUGCGAUGGUUUUCUAUUGAGACGUGUGG